RNAcentral lists this ribosomal RNA (299 nucleotides) under uncultured bacterium. RNAcentral describes it as "partial 16S ribosomal RNA". It matches the Rfam family "Bacterial small subunit ribosomal RNA", at positions 29 to 325 of the family's 1533-position model. The record is from RNAcentral.
AACGAACGCUGGCGGCGUGCUUAACACAUGCAAGUCGAGUGCGCGUGCCGUAGCAAUACGGCAUGGCGCACGGCGCACGGGUGCGUAACACGUGGGCAAUCUGCCCUUCGAUGGGGAAUAACUCCGGGAAACCGAAGCUAAUUCCGCAUAACAUUCCUUGGACUUCGGUUCGAGGACUCAAAGCCGUAAGGCGUCGAAGGAGGAGCCCGCGCACGAUUAGCUAGUUGGUAGGGACGGCCUACCAAGGCUUUGAUCGUUAGCUGGUCUGAGAGGAUGGCCAGCCACACUGGAACUGAGAC